AAUUUUGAAGGCAUCCAACUUUCAUUUUUUUUCCUUCUUCAAUUUGCAGAGAACUUGUAAGAGAGAGUUUGGAAGAAGAAGAGGAAUUUUACUAGAAUUUUGAGGUUGAAGAAGAGGAGGAGAACUCAAGCAAAGUGUAUCCAUGGCUGAAUUUUAGUUCAUUCUGCACAUCACUAGUUUUUAAUUCGGUUUAAACUCUUCAAAAGGAAUUAAGAGGACAGUUGGUUUUCACUUGAAAUCAGAAGGUCUCUGGUUUUUCUUGUAUUUCAGAGUGUACCGGUGGAGUUAGAAUCUCUAUUUGGGAGAACUUAAAGAAGUCGUGUGCGCGCGAUUCUGGAAGUGGUUCUGUUUCGAGGGUUAUCUGAGUUUAUGUACGGAGAAUCAGAUUUACAUGUCUUCAGGCCGAGAAGAAUUAAACCGAGCUUAUAGACCAAGGAUCUAGUCGAAGACGGUCGAGAUCGAGUUUCCGGUGCCUGAUAGACUACCUUAGUCUGCUGAAGCUCCAUUAUCGAUUGCCAGUACGUGUUUUGAGUUAGGUAUAGAGUCUAUUGUGUUGUGAUGUAUAUAUACCCUUGUAUGUUAUAGAUACUCCACAGUUUGUAUAAGCUUUAGGAGUUGUAGUUGUGUAAAUUUUGUUGGUUAUAUUUUGAUUAAGGUGUCUUUAGGUUUACUCGUGAAAUCGGUAAAUUUUGAGGUACACUUCAUGUAUGUGUUUGACUAGUUGUGUUUGACUAGCUUAGGAUCCGCUGUGUUUUGUUGCAUGUAUAAUAUUUUAUAUACUAGAUUGGAAAGUUCAUCAUAUGAAAGUUUUAAGCAGAGUCGACAGAUACAGGUACAUAAAAGCGUUGUUCGUCGGCUUCAUGCCAUCUUUCGGUCUAAGGUAGCAGGUAGUCCGGGAGGGGGUGUGACAGUCUUAAAUAGCACAAUUUUGAGUCAUAUAGCACAAUUUUGAGUUAUCUAUUGUGAUAGACUUUAUUGUAGA
Cucumis melo (muskmelon) is the source of this 982-nucleotide long non-coding RNA. RefSeq lists it as uncharacterized. Lineage: Eukaryota; Viridiplantae; Streptophyta; Magnoliopsida; Cucurbitales; Cucurbitaceae. The transcript has 5 exons. The record is from RefSeq and is a predicted model, not a curated record.